AUACGGAGGGUGCGAGCGUUAAUCGGAAUUACUGGGCGUAAAGGGCACGUAGGCGGCUUAAUAAGUCAGAUGUGAAAGCCCCGGGCUUAACCUGGGAACUGCAUUUGAAACGGUUAGGCUAGAGUUUGAUAGAGGGGAGUGGAAUUUCCGGUGUAGCGGUGAAAUGCGUAGAGAUCGGAAGGAACACCAGUGGCGAAGGCGACUCCCUGGAUUAAAACUGACGCUGAGGUGCGAAAGCGUGGGUAGCAAACAGGAUUAGAAACCCUGGUAGUCC
RNAcentral lists this ribosomal RNA (274 nucleotides) under uncultured bacterium. RNAcentral describes it as "partial 16S ribosomal RNA". It matches the Rfam family "Bacterial small subunit ribosomal RNA", at positions 523 to 796 of the family's 1533-position model. The record is from RNAcentral.